GAUGAACGCUGACAGAAUGCUUAACACAUGCAAGUCGAUGGGGAAGUGGUGCUUGCACCAUGGUAACCAUGGCGGACGGGUGAGUAACGCGUAAGGAACUUGCCUGCGGGACUGGGAUAACAGCAGGAAACUGCUGAUAAUACCGGAUAAGGUCAUUAAGCUGCAUAGCUUAGUGAUGAAAGGAGACGCCUGCGGAGAGCCUUGCGUCCUAUUAGCUAGUUGGAGGGGUAACGGCCCACCAAGGCGAAGAUAGGUAGCCGGCCUGAGAGGGUGGACGGCCACAAGGGGACUGGGAUACGGCCCUUACUCCUACGGGAGGCAGCAGUGGGGAAUAUUGGACAAUGGGGGCAACCCUGAUCCAGCAAUUCUGUGUGCACGAAGACGGUUUUCGGAUUGUAAAGUGCUUUCAGCAGGGAAGAAGGAAGUGACGGUACCUGCAGAAGAAGCGACGGCUAAAUACGUG
This 463-nucleotide ribosomal RNA is filed under the name uncultured bacterium. RNAcentral describes it as "partial 16S ribosomal RNA". It matches the Rfam family "Bacterial small subunit ribosomal RNA", at positions 28 to 507 of the family's 1533-position model. The record is from RNAcentral.